Molecule: long non-coding RNA, 4544 nt
Filed under: Canis lupus familiaris (dog)
Lineage: Eukaryota; Metazoa; Chordata; Mammalia; Carnivora; Canidae
Description: lncRNA (ENSCAFG00845010441.1)
Source: RNAcentral
UUUUAUUUUUUAUAAAUGGCAAAGAAUUUGAAUAGAAAUUUCUCCAAUGAAGAUAUAUAAAUGGCCAAAAAGCACAUAAAAAGAUGUUCAAUGUCAUUAGUAAUUAGAGAAAUGUAAAUCAAAACCAAUAAAGUACCAUUUUACUCCCAAUAGGAAGGCUACAAUAAAAAAAAAAGAGACACUAACAAGGGUUGGCAAAACUCAAAACAUAUGUCUUUGCAAAAACCUGCACAUGAAUGUUCACAGCAGCAUUAUUCAUAAUAGCUAAAAAGUAAAAACAGCCCAAUGUCUGUCAACUGAUGAAUGGAUAAACAAAACGUGGUCCAUCUAUACAAUGAAAUAUUAUUCAUCAAUAAAAAGUAAUGAAGUACUGAUACAUGCUAUAACAUGGAUGAAACUUGAAAACAUGCUAAGUGAAAAAAUCCAGAUACAAAAAGCCUAUGUUGAAUGAUUCCAUUUAUGUGAAAUAUCCAGAACAGGCAAAUCUAUAGAGCCUGAAAGUAGAUUACUGUUUGCUAGGGGCUAAGGGAAAGGGGGUGGAAUGGCGAGUGACUACUAAUGGGUACAUGAUUUCUUUUGAAAGUGAUGAAAAUGAUCUGGAAUUAGAUAAUGGUGAUGGUUACAUGAUCUUGUGAAUCAUAUACUUUAAAAGGGGUAAAUUUUAUGUUAUGUGAAUUAUAUCUCAAUAAGAACCAAAGAAGUCUUGGGGAAAAAAGGGUUAUACACUGUGUGUUACCUUUUGUAGAAAAAAGAAGGGACAAAUGUCUCCAUUUACUUUUGCAAAAAGACAUGUAGGAAGAAUAAAACAGAAAACAAUAAAAUCAUUUAUCUACAAAGGAUAGGAGUGGAGGAACAGGAUAUUUUAUGCUGGAUGAUUCAUCCUAGUCAAUAUUCUAGAGUUAUACACGAAGAAAAAAGUUGUUAGCAAAUCACUAAAAAUUAAGAGAGUUGGUAAAGAUUUGGACAUGUGUUGACUUCACAUUAGGAAAGGAGGGAAAGAGUGAAGGAAAGAGGAUAAAAAAAUAGAAAAGAAGGGAGAAAGAGAGGGAGAGAAGAGGAGGAGAGGAAGGAAAGAAGGGAGGAGAAAGGCGGCAGGCUAACGGGAAGAAGGGGCUGAAGGGGUAGCUUGGCAUUGGCUGUCAUAGUGGUAGACAUGUCAAACAUGCCUCAGGUUUUUGUAUCUUACAGGCUGACCUUCACAUCAGUAGGAGAGGCCCAUUGGGGCAUGUGAUAGAAGGAUGCCUGUUGGACAGCCACCAUCAAAGCAUUUUUCUGAGCCGCUUGGCAUGCAAGGGUCACUUGCAUAUUUUCCACUCCUGAAUGGAAUAAGAGCUAAAGAAAGAAAAUGUGAAAGUUAGUAGGAAUUUUGGCCAUAAAGAGGAGAUGAAGUUGAGGAUUUGAGAUCACCACCUAUUUAACAUGUAAACAUAUGAAUCAAACUGCAGGAUGAUCUGAGAUCCUUGCUUCUCAGCCACAGGACUGAAUCUGGUCUCUCUCUAAGCACCAUUUCAUACUGGGAAGGCAGCCUCCAGGCCUGAUUUGCUCUGUAGCUAGUGACCAUCAGGUUUCUGAUCAGAAAAGGAUGAGUAGGCUCUGACAAACCAGCAAACAUGUGCUCAGUGGCAGCCUUUUAAAGCAACCAAGAUUAGGUUAAUGCUUAAAAAAUACAGGGGUGCCUAGGUGACUCGGUUAGGUAAGCAUUCAACUUCGGCUAAAUAAGGUAAGGGUAUCAUCAUUACUUAGGAAGUUAGAAGCCUCUCUUCGACAUGGGAGCCAAACGUAUAUGAAUUGCAAAUUGCUUAAUUUUACUUUAGUGUCUUUAAAAAACACAAUUUACCUUAAGAAUGGAUUCCUUUGUAUAAAAGCUAAACUUGCCAACCUGGUUAUCAUCCACCUCAGAGAUGGCUAAGACAAGAGUAGUAGGAGAAUAUCUGCAAGAAGAAACAUGACAUUGUUCUGAUGUACCAUGACAUUGGUCAAGACAUGCUCAUUCCGAUGGGACAUCAGCAAUGAUAGCAAGUGCAGAUAUUACACAAGACUUGAUAUUUCUGCUCAAAGCCUGAAGGGCUCUGGGGUCUUUCAAUCCUUGUUGGACUUGAUCUCUCUGCAGUUUCCUUAUGGUGAUCACCAACUCUGAAUUCUUUUCUCCUGAUCCCCAUUCCACUGUUUUAUCUUGUUUCUCUUUGUACCUUCAACCUCAUGUCCUCAGGCUCUUCACUGACUCAAAUCCCUUUGUCCAUUCCCUAAAAGCUGUCCAGUUUUUGCUCUCUUCCAUUGUCCCAACAAUUACCUAAAUGUUCUUUGCAACCAUGUUUAUGCCUUGGGAUACAGUCCUUUGUCCGUACCUAUGAGACUUUGUUGAGUAAUUUAAUAUCUAUGAAUCUCAGUUUGUUCAUCUGUAAAGGGAGAUAGUACCUAUCUCAUAGGGUUAUGGCAAAUAUUAAGUGGGAUAAUAUCCACAAACGUGCUUUUUAAAAUGUAAGCCACUUGCUCAUGUUUGAUAUAUGUUGUUAUAACAACACUCCAAAGUGGCAAUUUUAAGAGAUUAACAUACAUAAAAGCAAACUCAAGAGACAAGAUCCUUGGAUACAUAAACCUUCCCUAGGUAAUUCAGAAGGCUCCCCAGAUCUGGCAGGAUCUUUUGGGUCAUUGUUGGGAAAACCAAUCACAACUUGACCAGGCCACAGAUCAUUUGGGCACUUUGUGCUGAUUGGUUGAUUCCAGGUGAACAAAAAUAUGUCCUGUUUUACAUCAGUAUAAAAUACCAGCUCCAACAGGAGGCCCUUGAAGAGCCAGAGAAUAACUUGGCUCCAGGUUGGAGACGUAGCUAGCUUUGCCUGAGGUCCAAUCACACUUCCUUCCUUCAGUUUCUGUAGACAUCUCUAUAUCCUUAUUAUAAAUUCUCUUUUUGGUUUAGCUAGUGUGACAGGAUGAAGCAGGAAAUAUUUUGCCUCCAGGAAACUUUUGGCAGUGUCUGGAGACAUUUUUGAUUGUUACAAAUGGGGAGGAGAAGGGGUACAACUGGCAUCUGGUAGGUAGUGGUCAGAAGUGCGGAUAAACAACCUCUGCUGCACAUGACAGCCCCCUAUAAGAAAGAGUUAUCCAGCCCUAAAUUUCAAUAAUGCCAAGGUUGAGAAACUUUAGGAUACCAUAUUCUAUGACCCUAACCCAUCUCAGCCCACAGUCUCUUUGGAGAAGAGAGGAGUCCUUUAACAUAUUAACACAUCAAAGUUACAUUUUGAGCACUGAUCCACACUAGAAAAACAAAGGUGAUUUUUUUCCUCCUUGGAGUCAUCUUUGCUUUCCUUGGGGUGGGGCCAGUACCAGGAAUCUCCAGGGAUAGAGCUAGGACCCUCAAGGGAAGGGCAGACUAGAAGAGAAGGAAAGAAGAGGGAGACAAGUUUCUCCUCAGCACACAUCAAAGGCUGACUCUGCAAGGAGGAAAAAGAUUCCUUUCUGCGACUAAGUAGACUCAUGACCUGUUACUGUUAAGAGUGUUUUCUUUCCAGCAAUGAGUUGAACCUAUGGGGCAUAAAGAAGUUUCACUGCUUUAAAUCCAUCUGUUGCUGGCCAACAAGAGUCUGACUGAGAUACCGCCAUACAUGUUAGAUUUGCACAUUGUAUUAGAAAUGCAAUGUUCAAGGAAACAGCUGCUCAAAAAACUUGACUGACUUCUUCCUGGUCUCAGGGUAAGUGGGAGAAGGGAUCUGGACUUCUGAUCCAUGGUUCUUGCCCCCUGAGACAAACUCUCACACCCUUUUUUCCCCCAGAAGCAACAAAGUCAACCUGGCAGCCCCUGAGCCUGUGAUUCUAUCUCACUUGAGCUCUCUGAUCCAGUUCUUCUAUUUCUCAGUGUUUUUAAAUUCAAUUAUCCCCCUUCAUUGAGAUCUAUUUCCCCCCCUUUCAGUAAAAAAAAAAAAAGAAAAAGAAAAGAAAAGAAAAACAAUAGCAUCAUGGCAGAUAGAAUAUAAGAGAGGGAAUUUAGAAAUACAAUUGCAUUUGUGUGUCCAGUGUGGGAGAAAUUAUUUUCACUGACUGUUCAUUCUACCAUUACAUUAUUUUUACUUUGACUUUCUCAAGGCUCACCUGUCCACUCGAUCACUGUCCUCCAGCAGAGAGGUGAUAAAGACAGGGGGUGGAUGGUCUAUUUUGUCCUUGUGUGAUGCAAAUUCAAAGUGAACAGGCCUCAGAUACAAAUGGAACUCUUCAAAACCCAUCUCCCGUGCCAGUACCUUAUAGAGCCUAAAAGGGGGAGGCAGAUAAAGAACCAAGGGCAUUUGCCAUUAUUUUCCACUAAAAGAAAAGUGGUGAGAAAACCAAAAAAUCUGAAUAAGCAGAAAAACAAAAGUCAAAACAAGAGUAAGCCAAGUCUUGUAUAAAGUGAAUGAGUCACAAAUGUCUUGCAUUUAGUCUAUGCUAUGGCAGUUAAAGAUAGCAAUUAAAGUAGGAGGAGAUGUGCUUGGGCACUUCCUCAACUUUCAUUUCCUGCAAGCUGGCUUCUGUCCUCAGAGUGCUCAUGGGGUCACCAAUACUGCUUUCAAUAC